GAGAACGUGGUGUAACGGCAAACAUCUUGGUCUACGAAAUCAAAGAAUGAAGGUUCAAUUCCUUCCGUUCUCG
Molecule: transfer RNA, 73 nt
Filed under: Leptolyngbya sp. 'hensonii'
Lineage: Bacteria; Bacillati; Cyanobacteriota; Cyanophyceae; Leptolyngbyales; Leptolyngbyaceae
Rfam family: tRNA
About the family: Transfer RNA (tRNA) molecules are approximately 80 nucleotides in length. Their secondary structure includes four short double-helical elements and three loops (D, anti-codon, and T loops). Further hydrogen bonds mediate the characteristic L-shaped molecular structure. tRNAs have two regions of fundamental functional importance: the anti-codon, which is responsible for specific mRNA codon recognition, and the 3' end, to which the tRNAs corresponding amino acid is attached (by aminoacyl-tRNA synthetases). tRNAs cope with the degeneracy of the genetic code in two manners: having more than one tRNA (with a specific anti-codon) for a particular amino acid; and 'wobble' base-pairing, i.e. permitting non-standard base-pairing at the 3rd anti-codon position.
Source: Rfam by way of RNAcentral